GAUUAUGGCUCAGGAUGAACGCUAGCGAUAGGCUUAACACAUGCAAGUCGAGGGGCAGCACGGUGUAGCAAUACACUGGUGGCGACCGGCGUACGGGUGCGUAACACGUAUGCAACCUACCCGCUAUUGGGGGAUAACCCGGCGAAAGUCGGACUAAUACCCCAUAUUAUUCUUACCGGGCAUCCGGUAGGUCUGAAAGAUUUAUCGAUUGCGGAUGGGCAUGCGGAUGAUUAGCUAGUAGGUGGGGUAACGGCUCACCUAGGCGACGAUCAUUAGGGGUUCUGAGAGGAAGGUCCCCCACACUGGAACUGAGACACGGUCCAGACUCCUACGGGAGGCAGCAGUGAGGAAUAUUGGUCAAUGGGCGCUAGCCUGAACCAGCCAAGUCGCGUGAAGGAUGAACCAGAUCUAUGGUUUGUAAACUUCUUUUGCAGGGGAGUAAAGUGCGGCACGUGUGUUGUAUUGCAAGUACCCUGCGAAUAAGCAUCGGCUAACUCCGUGCCAGCCGCCGC
This 512-nucleotide ribosomal RNA is filed under the name uncultured bacterium. RNAcentral's name for it is "bacterial SSU rRNA". It matches the Rfam family "Bacterial small subunit ribosomal RNA", at positions 15 to 518 of the family's 1533-position model. The record is from RNAcentral.